UGUUUAGACUUAGUUUUUUUUCUUUACAUCUCCCAUCUAUCUAUUUUCUUUAGUUAUUCACUAGAGCAAUUAUGAUCUGGAAGUCGAUCCGGGGCAAGUGUUCGGAUCUAUUAUGACAUAGCCGGGAGGCGCUUAACGGACCUUUUUAAUCUUAUAAACCCCUUUUCUUGGCUUUGAAUAGACUCAAAAACAAUUUUUUGUGCAAUCUAGUGUAUUCAUAUCUCAAUUAUACGUUGCUAAACGGAACUGCUUUAUACUUUAUGUCUUGCAUGCAUAUAACAUAUUAAUAUGACUCUAUUCCGUACUCUAUUCAAAAUUUGGCGAGAAGUAAUUACUAAACUAAGAGACAUCUCAGUAUUUAUAUUUAGUUAUUUGAAGGUUUUUUAUUAGUUUUAAAAGUGGAAACGAAAAAGAUUCUCUACUUUAGCUGUAUAUUGAUCUGUAUAUCGUUUAUUCCUACGAAAUACUAGACGAAAUAGAACGAUCUUAGAAGGGAUAUAAUGAAAUUCUUUGAUUGGUUCUUCCCAGAAAAAGAUCCGUUUUAGUUAUUUGACCGAUAGGGACAACAAAUAAUUAAUUCUAACAAAUAGAAAAAAUGAAACUAAAUAACUAAAUAAAUAUAACAGUGUUCUUAUUCAAACCGCCUUGUAAUCUUCAACCAAUUCUGUGCUUCAAUAUAAUUACCAGGAGUAAGCGCUAUAGCUUGUUUCCAAUACUCGGCGGCUUGAUCGAACCAAGCCUCCGCAAUUUCCGAAUCCCCUUGCUGAACGGCCUGUUCUCCCCGGUUAAUUACAUGAUCGCACGUAAUGACAGAUCACGGCCAUAUUAUUAAAAGCUUGUGGUAAGAACGGGUUUCGUUCUAGUGCCCGAAAAUAAUAUUCUAAAGCUUUUGUAUGUUCUCCGUUCCUUGUAUGGAUAAGGCCUAUGUUAUAGAGUAUAUAACUUCGAUCAUAAGGAUCAAUUUCCAGUCGCAUAGCUUCAUAAUAAUUUUGUAAAGCUUCCGCAUAAUUUCCUUCGGAUUGAGCCGACAUCCGUUACGGUCGUCAUUCGAUUCAAAGAAUCUCCGUUCCAGAACCGUACAUGAGAUUUUCACCUCAUACGGCUCCUCCUUUAUGUGCAUAAUGAAAAAAAGACAUGGAAUCAAAAAAGAUUGAAAGAUUCUCAUUAUAAACUGAGCGGGGCUGGUGUUUUUACAAGAAAUCUCUAGCCAACCUUCUUGUAAAAGAUCUUUCCUUAACAUCAAGCAUGUUGGCAUUAUAUUAGAUAAAAAAGGCGACCCCAACAAUUUCUUUGUCUUCAACGCCCUAAAAUUUACAGGAAUUAGUCACUUCAACAGUCUUCGAUGGUUAUACGGGUAUCCAAAAUACGAACGAGAUGGAUGUUUGUUGUCCCAACCAUUCUUGUUAGUCCCGAUCCUGAUAAGUAAUAAGUAAAGGGAAUUAUUUCUAACAAAGUUUUCGUGUGUUGAUUCCUAGGAGUAGUGCUUCUUCCCCUAUGCCUCCUAUUGGUACUAGUGAAGUAGGGUUAACUUAACCUAUAGGUGUAACCUUUCGCUCAAUACUCUAGAAUCGACAAUCGAAGCAUCUGAGGCUGCAUUAAUCGGGGAUACACGACAGAAGGGGUUGCUUUAUUUACAAACUUCACCUUCAACAAGCGUAGAUUUUUUCAAUAAUUUUUCUUCCUAAUUUCGAAUAAUUAAUAAUAAUGUUGUCUUUCUCUUAAGACUGAGAGCGGUAAAAAAAAAAAAAAGAAAUAAAAAAAAUCAAAUCGCACCAUCUCUGUAAUAGGUGAAUGCCUCUUUUUCUCCUGAAGUUGUCGGAAUUAUUCGUAAUAAGAUAUUGGCUACAAUUGAAAAAGUUUUAUCAAUAAAAUUUCCAUUUAUCCCAGAUCUAGACAUAGGUGUAUUAAUCCAUUCUAUAAUUUUUUUGAAUUUCCUUUCGUGAGAAAAUGAUCUCACAAACAAAGGAAUUGUACAGUACGAAAUAACGUAAAAACGGAUUCAUUAAAAAAGACGCCCUUUUACUCCAAUUGUUUAUUUUUGACAGGAAUCAAUAAAAAAAAAAUUUCAUAUUUGAAUCCGAUUCGAUUUCAUCCAAAUGUAGUAAUAUAAAAAUGAAGGGAACUGUUCCUAUUUCAUUGAGGUUGAAGAAUCAAAGAAUUUCUCUUAGAGAUUAGGAUAAUUCGAGAAGUUUUGAUUCAAAAGAGGAAAAAGAAUCAAAUAAUAAUUCUAUGAUUAAAAUGGAAUCCCGUCUGCUUUGUGUUAUGUGUAUAGUGGGUAUACGCUAUACAAUCAAAUAGAAAAACCGGGGGGUGGUUCAUGAAUUUGGAAUAAAUCUAUGGGUUAAGAGGUUGAAGUAAGGAAUUCUUGUUGAAAAAUCGAAAACUGGAAAAGGAUUUUAGAAUUUUUAUGAAAAUAGAAUAAUAGUUUAAACUAAAUAGAAUCGUGGUAUAAAGGUAGCCAUUAAACAUAGUCUAAAAAAAUAGAACGAUCCGCGGAUUCGUUCCAAUUGAGUGAUUUAAUCCGGUAUAAAUAUUAGAAAGGGCGGAAACAUUAUCUUCGCAAACAUGAAUAGAUAUAUCUUUAUUUUACAAUUUUUUUUUUCAUAAAAAAAAUUAUCUUUAUCCCCAGCCUCGGAGGGAGGAUUUAUCUUUGAUGAAAACUUUUAUGCUUUUAGAGUUCCAUUUUUAGAGUGAAAAUGGAAUGUACAUACCUAUACAAAAUGAAUAUCAAUGGCUCACUAUUCACUCGGGUUUUGAGCC
RNAcentral lists this long non-coding RNA (2760 nucleotides) under Rosa chinensis. RNAcentral describes it as "sRNA RchiOBHm_CPg0502241". The record is from RNAcentral. Lineage: Eukaryota; Viridiplantae; Streptophyta; Magnoliopsida; Rosales; Rosaceae.